RNAcentral lists this ribosomal RNA (253 nucleotides) under uncultured bacterium. RNAcentral's name for it is "partial 16S ribosomal RNA". It matches the Rfam family "Bacterial small subunit ribosomal RNA", at positions 524 to 776 of the family's 1533-position model. The record is from RNAcentral.
UACGAGGGGGGCAAGCGUUGUUCGGAAUUAUUGGGCGUAAAGGGUGCGUAGGCGGUCUGAUAAGUCAUCUGUGAAAUCUAUGGGCUCAGCCCAUAGUCUGCAGGCGAAACUGUCGGGCUUGAGUAUGGGAGAGGUGAGUGGAAUUUCCGGUGUAGCGGUGAAAUGCGUAGAUAUCGGAAGGAACACCUGUGGCGAAAGCGGCUCACUGGACCAUUACUGACGCUGAUGCACGAAAGCUAGGGGAGCAAACAGG